AACUUCACCUUAAUCAACAGUCUCAGCUGCUGCUUAUACAGCUGUCAGUUCCCAGAUCUCACAAGGACCUGAAGGUGAAGGUGAGACAAAGAAUAAAGUA
This is a long non-coding RNA of Pantherophis guttatus, 100 nucleotides long. RefSeq lists it as uncharacterized. The record is from RefSeq and is a predicted model, not a curated record. Lineage: Eukaryota; Metazoa; Chordata; Lepidosauria; Squamata; Colubridae.